Molecule: ribosomal RNA, 253 nt
Filed under: uncultured bacterium
Lineage: Bacteria
Description: partial 16S ribosomal RNA
Rfam family: Bacterial small subunit ribosomal RNA
Source: RNAcentral
UACGGAGGGUCCAAGCGUUAUCCGGAAUCAUUGGGUUUAAAGGGUCCGUAGGCGGUUUAGUAAGUCAGUGGUGAAAGCCCAUCGCUCAACGGUGGAACGGCCAUUGAUACUGCUAAACUUGAAUUAUUAGGAAGUAACUAGAAUAUGUAGUGUAGCGGUGAAAUGCUUAGAUAUUACAUGGAAUGCCAAUUGCGAAGGCAGGUUACUACUAAUUGAUUGACGCUGAUGGACGAAAGCGUGGGGAGCGAACAGG